This 204-nucleotide ribosomal RNA is filed under the name Triticum aestivum (bread wheat). RNAcentral's name for it is "partial small subunit ribosomal RNA". The record is from RNAcentral. Lineage: Eukaryota; Viridiplantae; Streptophyta; Magnoliopsida; Poales; Poaceae.
AUGCUCCUUUGCACAAGACAUCAUCUCCUACCUCGGCCACAUCAUUGCCAAGGACGGCGUGGCCACGGAUCCGGAGAAGACACAGGCCAUGCUGGCUUGGCCUACCCCAACCUCGGCCACCGAGCUCCGUGGCUUCCUCGGCCUCACGGGCUACUACCGCAAGUUUGUCGCGCAUUAUGGCAUCAUUGCCAAGCCGCUAACUAA